GUUGAUUUUGGCGCGGCGCUGGUGGUUAGCGCGUGACCACAUAUAGAGGCUAUAGUCCUCGAAGCGGCCGUCCCGGGUUCGAGUCCCGGACCCGGCG
Molecule: non-coding RNA, 97 nt
Organism: Crenichthys baileyi (White River springfish)
Lineage: Eukaryota; Metazoa; Chordata; Actinopteri; Cyprinodontiformes; Goodeidae
Source: the annotation of a GenBank genome assembly